AUUGAACGCUGGCGGCAUGCUUUACACAUGCAAGUCGGACGGCAGCACAGAGAAGCUUGCUUCUUGGGUGGCGAGUGGCGAACGGGUGAGUAAUAUAUCGGAACGUACCGAGUAAUGGGGGAUAACUAAUCGAAAGAUUAGCUAAUACCGCAUAUUCUCUGAGGAGGAAAGCAGGGGACCUUCGGGCCUUGCGUUAUUUGAGCGGCCGAUAUCUGAUUAGCUAGUUGGUGGGGUAAAGGCCUACCAAGGCGACGAUCAGUAGCGGGUCUGAGAGGAUGAUCCGCCACACUGGGACUGAGACACGGCCCAGACUCCUACGGGAGGCAGCAGUGGGGAAUUUUGGACAAUGGGCGCAAGCCUGAUCCAGCCAUGCCGCGUGUCUGAAGAAGGCCUUCGGGUUGUAAAGGACUUUUGUCAGGGAAGAAAAGGCUGUUGCUAAUAUCGACAGCUGAUGACG
This 457-nucleotide ribosomal RNA is filed under the name Neisseria flavescens. Its description in RNAcentral is "bacterial SSU rRNA". It matches the Rfam family "Bacterial small subunit ribosomal RNA", at positions 30 to 474 of the family's 1533-position model. Lineage: Bacteria; Pseudomonadati; Pseudomonadota; Betaproteobacteria; Neisseriales; Neisseriaceae. The record is from RNAcentral.